Molecule: long non-coding RNA, 2469 nt
Organism: Motacilla alba alba
Lineage: Eukaryota; Metazoa; Chordata; Aves; Passeriformes; Motacillidae
Exons: 2
Source: RefSeq, a predicted model, not a curated record
GUCGCCCCUCUCCCUCCUCUCCCUCCUCCUCCUCCUCCUCCUCCUCCUUUUCCAGUUCAGCGGCGCAAAUUUCUGUUUGUGCCAGUGGGGCGGCCUGGCGAGACCGCAAUUGCUCUACCCCACAGAUUGACGAGCCCUCAGAUGCCGAUUUACUGUACAUGGCAGCCACGCUGGAGCCGCGGCACAUCUGGAGUGGAGUAAGCUUACUCAGAAACAGGGGCCAGCUCCAGCCGGAGCCAGCGGGGCCGAGCGCGGCGCUGAAAGGCAGCCCUCCUGCCUCCCCUUCCCUCCUCCCCGGAUCCCAGUAGGAAAGGGCCAAAAUUCCCUGUGAAACAUCUUGCCCAGGCCUCAGCCUUCUCACCAGGGGAAGCGUUACCUGCUUAUGGCUGCUUAGAAACCACUCAAGGUGAAAUUCCGUAAGGAGGGGACUCUGCAUGGGAGAGGUGUUGGUCAGCAUGGAAAGACUGAAUUGCACAUCUCCAAGAUCCAGAACGACCUUUCUGUGCCUGAAGUCAGGAGCAGCAUCAUGGGUCCAGGGGGAAAUGCAGGCAUGGCCCACCAUUUUCCAUAAUCUAGGUGACUACUGAGAUGGAUAAAAUGGUUUCUUUGUAGUGAAAUGAUAUAUUUGGAAAAAAACUCCAUGUCUACACAGAAAGGCUGAUGGAACCAGUCUCCAAAGCAAAACUGUUUGGCAAACUUUGAGAGAGAUCUUGGCAGUUGACUGAAAGCUAAAGUUUUUAAGGGACAGUUGGAUUUUAACUGAGUUCUUCUAGAAGCCUGCAGGGCUCUGCUGGCAGACCAUUGCUCAACCUUUUGACUGCCUGGGUGGAGGAUUGAUGGCCUAUCAUUGCAGGAUGGCCCACCAAGUAGUCUACCUUUGAACUAAAGACCUCAGGCCUUCCAGGUUUCAAAACUGGGACAACACUUGUUUUGAAACAUUUUUGAUGUGUUUUGGUAUUCAUUGGAAAUAUUUUUAUGAGUUACCAAAUCCUGACCCCAAAAAGUGUUCCAUAGGAGUUUUUUAAACAGCUCUAUUCUAGUCUAAGUUUAAUGACCCUGAGGGGAAAAAAAAGUUUCUCCAUAAAGGAGAAAUAAAACAAUCCAGUGAAUUAGUCUGAAGCAGUACUUCUCUGACCCUUACUUACUGGGCAAGCGUGCCUGUAAUCCCACUGGUGUCCUUGGACAUCCAGUUUGGUUGGGCUCAGUUACAGAGUUCUAGUCCUAAUUUUAAACAUGAUAUCUUGGUAGGAAUUGUUUAAGUGUGUUUUUUUCCCCCCCAUUUCUUUUAGCGCACAGUUGAAGUUGAUUCAGCUCCCUGUUUUGCACUAAUGCCAAAAGUGUCCAUGAAGUCUUGAAAUGAAAUAAUCUUGGUAGAUGACUACGCAUCCUACUGAUUAUGCUAUUGUUAUUAUAUUAAUAGCAUGCACUCCAACUGAAGCAAUGUGCAGGUGCAAAACUCUCAUUCAGCAGUACAUAGCUCUUUCAUCUGCCAUUUCUUGCCAGUAGAUUUCCUGCUUGUAUGAAUGUUUCUUGUGAAAUUUCUGGAGAAUAGCUGUUGGAGUUUUGCCAGUUGUAAGAAAACAAAUGCACAAACAACCCACUUCCAAAACUCAACCAACUCCCCCUUCCUGAGUCAUCUCUUUUUGAAAUUACUAAUUCAUGAUAGAUAUUCUGCAUCUAACAAAAAUUACCAAUUAUGACAAAAUAAACAGUGUGGAAUAAUUUAAGAAAGGCAAAAGUAAAAACUCUCCUAGUUGUGCCAAUAAUGUAGCCUCAGUGUGCCUGUGUGUUGCCAUUUAACGCAGUACACGUGGUUAGCUCGCUUUAAAUAUGUGCCCAUGCCUGUCCUCAGUCAUUCACUCUGUAACAAUUCCUUAGAAUCCUACCCAUAUAUAUUGAGUUCAAAAGACAAUUGGUCUUUGCAAAUAAUAAUCAAGUUUUAGAGAAACCUUAACUAUGUGGGUUUUUUUUUAGGUAAGCAAGACUUAAUCUGCACAGAUGCUCAAACAGUAGUGAAAUCUGUGGACUAGCAUUCAGAAACUAUAUUUAUUCCAGUAGGCUUCAUGCUUCAUGACCAUCAGUCAGAAAUGAAGGCAGAAGAGCACUUUGAGAAUCGGAUGGGAUUUAAGGGUUUGAAAAAUGUAUCAGUAGGUGUUAGCCUGCAAAAACAUAUGUGUGUGGGAAGAGGGCAGUUGAACUAACCCAGGUAUUAAUACUGUAUUUUAAAAGGCAAUAGAUCCCUUUAACAUCUAAAUAAACGGAGAAAUCUGCCUAGAAGUAAAAAAAAGGAAUUUCCAGUUUCAAGUGUGUUAUAUCCUUUCAACAGAAUUAUUUACAGUAUAUCUUUUCCAUGUUUUUUACAAAAUGUUAUUGACAUCUGAAUGGUAUUUCAGCAUAUUAUGACAGAUCUGAAAGUCAAACACCAAUAUUUGCAAUAUUUUUGACCCCAGAAUAAACUGUAAAAAAUUA